UACGGAGGGGGCGAGCGUUAUUCGGAAUCAUUGGGCGUAAAGGGCGCGUAGGCGGCUUUGUAAGUCUUGGGUGAAAGCCCUCGGCUCAACCGAGGAAUUGCCUUGGAUACUGCGAAGCUCGAGGCUGGAAGAGGACAGUGGAAUUCCCGGUGUAGCGGUGAAAUGCGUAGAUAUCGAGAGGAACACCUGCGGCGAAGGCGGGUUGCUGGGCUGAUACUGACGCUGAGGCGCGAAAGCCAGGGGAGCGAACGGG
This 253-nucleotide ribosomal RNA is filed under the name uncultured bacterium. Its description in RNAcentral is "partial 16S ribosomal RNA". It matches the Rfam family "Bacterial small subunit ribosomal RNA", at positions 524 to 776 of the family's 1533-position model. The record is from RNAcentral.